AUAGUUUUUGCUACCUUGACAACCAAACACUCCCGAAUUCCAGGAGGGUUUUAGUUCUCAUCUCAAAACCCCCAACACUUCUCUCACUUAUUUCUGUCAUCUGCAAAUCUAAAUCCGGUACCAAAAAUGUCGUCUUUUGCCGCCACUAGAUCCAUAUUCCGAUCAACUUCCUCCGCUCGCAACGCCGCCGCAGCUCGUUUUGCUUCCAAACCCAGAGCCCCAACAUCAGCUUCUCCUUUUCGCAAUUCUGCUAACAACAAGCCUCUAUCUCAAUCCAUUUUAAGGCGUCCUGUGGAAAUGAGUUUUGCUGUAGAGUCAAUGAUGCCUUAUCACACAGUCACUGCUUCAGCAUUGAUGACUUCAAUGCUUUCUAUUUCUCGUGGGAGCUAUGGUUGGCUUCUUGAAGCUUGCAAUGAUGAUGUGUGAUGUAUAUUCAGAGGAUUCAAGCAAGUUUUAGUACAAGACUCUGCCUUUAGAAGUUCUGAAUGAGCUGCUGAGGAGACAAGUUGGAACUUGUUGAGCUUCCAAACCUAGAUGAAUUAAUGGAUGAAAUUGUAAAUGUCUGGCGAUAUGCAUUGGUUGCACGUUGUUUGUUACCAGGAAUGUGAUGGCAGAAUUUUUGUAACAGCUCAGACUCUUCAAAUGGCUUAUGUUCCUGUAGGUUAGAUGUUUACUUUGUAGUAUGGUUGAAAUGGAGAAAUCGUAUUUGGCAUAUGCUUUCCAACAGCUCCCCUGCAAUUCUGUUUGGAUGAUCUAAAAUUAGACCCAGAAUUGCUGCCUGCUAUUCUUCUUUUUGCCCGAAAUCCCAGAAUUGGAAUGUUAAAAGGUUCAAUCAUAAGCUUUCUUUAUAUAUAUUCAUCUGA
Molecule: RNA transcript, 863 nt
Organism: Ricinus communis (castor bean)
Lineage: Eukaryota; Viridiplantae; Streptophyta; Magnoliopsida; Malpighiales; Euphorbiaceae
Gene name: protein NUCLEAR FUSION DEFECTIVE 6, mitochondrial
Exons: 4
Source: RefSeq, a predicted model, not a curated record